CGCGGGGUAGAGCAGUCUGGUAGCUCGUCGGGCUCAUAACCCGAAGGUCAGG
RNAcentral lists this transfer RNA (52 nucleotides) under Candidatus Synechococcus spongiarum 142. RNAcentral's name for it is "tRNA-Met". It matches the Rfam family "tRNA", at positions 1 to 50 of the family's 71-position model. Rfam says of the family: Transfer RNA (tRNA) molecules are approximately 80 nucleotides in length. Their secondary structure includes four short double-helical elements and three loops (D, anti-codon, and T loops). The record is from RNAcentral. Lineage: Bacteria; Bacillati; Cyanobacteriota; Cyanophyceae; Synechococcales; Synechococcaceae.